This 429-nucleotide ribosomal RNA is filed under the name Triticum aestivum (bread wheat). RNAcentral's name for it is "partial small subunit ribosomal RNA". Lineage: Eukaryota; Viridiplantae; Streptophyta; Magnoliopsida; Poales; Poaceae. The record is from RNAcentral.
ACUAGGUGUAGUUUCUGUGAUCGAGAUGAGACAAUUAAACAUCCCUUUUUUGAUUGCCUGCUGGCCAAGGUUCUUUGGCAGACGGUCCACAUUGCUUUUAAUAUUACUUCACCGAAUACUGUUAAUGCUUUAUUUGGGAAUUGGCUAAAUGGGAUUGACUCUACAAUAGCAAGACAUAUUCGGGUUGGAGUCUGUGCUUUAAUGUGGACCAUCUGGCUGUGCAGAAAUGAUUUGGUUUUUAACAGAACAUCACGAAUUCAUUUUUUGCAGGUUAUCUUCCGAGCUACGGCGUUGAUCCGUUCAUGGUCAUUACUCACUCCGAUGGAGGCCAGGGAGCAUUUGGUUACUGGGUCUAUCCGGUGGGAGAUGGUUGCUCGGGAUAUCUUCAACCAGUUUGAAUGGCGGUCAUGUAAUAGGAUAGGCAAUUAG